This 426-nucleotide ribosomal RNA is filed under the name uncultured bacterium. RNAcentral's name for it is "bacterial SSU rRNA". It matches the Rfam family "Bacterial small subunit ribosomal RNA", at positions 917 to 1345 of the family's 1533-position model. The record is from RNAcentral.
GGGCCCGCACAAGCGGUGGAGCAUGUGGUUUAAUUCGAUGAUACGCGAGGAACCUUACCAGGGCUUAAAUGUAGUGGGACAGGUCUAGAGAUAGACCCUUCUUCGGACUCAUUACAAGGUGCUGCAUGGUUGUCGUCAGCUCGUGCCGUGAGGUGUCAGGUUAAGUCCUAUAACGAGCGCAACCCCUAUCGUUAGUUGCCAGCGAGUAAUGUCGGGAACUCUAACGAAACUGCCAGUGCAAACUGUGAGGAAGGUGGGGAUGACGUCAAAUCAUCACGGCCCUUAUGCCUAGGGCUACACACGUAAUACAAUGGUAUGCACAAAGGGAAGCGACCCAGCGAUGGUGAGCAAAUCUCAAAAAGCAUAUCUCAGUCCGGAUUGGAGUCUGCAACUCGACUCCAUGAAGUUGGAAUCGCUAGUAAUCGC